CAAUAGCGUAUAUUAAAGUUGUUGCGGUUAAAAAGCUCGUAGUUGGAUUUCUGCUGAGGACGACCGGUCCGCCCUCCGGGUGAGUAUCUGGCUCGGCCUGGGCAUCUUCUUGGAGAACGUUGCUGCACUUGAUUGUGUGGCGCGGAAUUCAAGACUUUUACUUUGAGGAAAUUAGAGUGUUUCAAGCAGGCACACGCCUUGAAUACAUUAGCAUGGAAUAAUAAGAUAGGACCUCGGUUUUAUUUUGUUGGUUUCUAGAGCUGAGGUAAUGAUUAAUAGGGAUAGUUGGGGGCAUUCGUAUUUAACUGUCAGAGGUGAAAUUCUUGGAUUUGCUAAAGACGGACUACUGCGAAAGCAUUUGCCAAGGAUGUUUUCAUCGA
This 380-nucleotide ribosomal RNA is filed under the name uncultured eukaryote. Its description in RNAcentral is "partial 18S ribosomal RNA". It matches the Rfam family "Eukaryotic small subunit ribosomal RNA", at positions 592 to 976 of the family's 1831-position model. The record is from RNAcentral.